UGGGGAAUAUUGGACAAUGGGCGGAAGCCUGAUCCAGCAACGCCGCGUGAGGGAUGACGGCCUUCGGGUUGUAAACCUCUUUCAGCACAGACGAAGCGCAAGUGACGGUAUGUGCAGAAGAAGGACCGGCCAACUACGUGCCAGCAGCCGCGGUAAUACGUAGGGUCCGAGCGUUGUCCGGAAUUAUUGGGCGUAAAGGGCUCGUAGGCGGUUUGUCGCGUCGGGAGUGAAAACCUACAGCUUAACUGUGGGCUUGCUUUCGAUACGGGCAGACUUGAGGCAUGCAGGGGAGAACGGAAUUCCUGGUGUAGCGGUGAAAUGCGCAGAUAUCAGGAGGAACACCGGUGGCGAAGGCGGUUCUCUGGGCAUGUUCUGACGCUGAGGAGCGAAAGUGUGGGGAGCGAACA
RNAcentral lists this ribosomal RNA (407 nucleotides) under uncultured Nocardioides sp. Its description in RNAcentral is "bacterial SSU rRNA". It matches the Rfam family "Bacterial small subunit ribosomal RNA", at positions 355 to 774 of the family's 1533-position model. The record is from RNAcentral. RNAcentral also lists the same sequence under 1 other name. Lineage: Bacteria; Bacillati; Actinomycetota; Actinomycetes; Propionibacteriales; Nocardioidaceae.